Molecule: transfer RNA, 74 nt
Filed under: Nitrososphaerota archaeon
Lineage: Archaea; Thermoproteati; Nitrososphaerota
Description: Thaumarchaeota archaeon tRNA-Gln
Rfam family: tRNA
About the family: Transfer RNA (tRNA) molecules are approximately 80 nucleotides in length.
Source: RNAcentral
AGCCCGGUGGUGUAGUCGGUCAAGCAUAGAGGCCUUUGGAGCCUUUGACCCCGGUUCGAAUCCGGGCCGGGCUA